This 427-nucleotide ribosomal RNA is filed under the name uncultured Pseudomonadota bacterium. Its description in RNAcentral is "bacterial SSU rRNA". It matches the Rfam family "Bacterial small subunit ribosomal RNA", at positions 355 to 774 of the family's 1533-position model. Lineage: Bacteria; Pseudomonadati; Pseudomonadota. The record is from RNAcentral.
UGGGGAAUUUUGGACAAUGGGCGAAAGCCUGAUCCAGCAAUGCCGCGUGUGUGAAGAAGGCCUUCGGGUUGUAAAGCACUUUUGGCAGGAAAGAAAUAGUGCGUGCUAAUACCAUGCGCGAAUGACGGUACCUGCAGAAUAAGCACCGGCUAACUACGUGCCAGCAGCCGCGGUAAGACGUAGGGUGCGAGCGUUAAUCGGAAUUACUGGGCGUAAAGAGUGCGUAGGCGGUUUUGUAAGACAGGUGUGAAAUCCCCGGGCUCAACCUGGGAACUGCACUUGUGACUGCAAGGCUAGAGUGUGUCAGAGGGAGGUGGAAUUCCGCGUGUAGCAGUGAAAUGCGUAGAGAUGCGGAGGAACACCGAUGGCGAAGGCAGCCUCCUGGGAUAACACUGACGCUCAGGCACGAAAGCGUGGGGAGCAAACA